UUAAGUUCAGCGGGUAUUCCUACCUGAUCCGAGGUCAACCAUGGAAAGCGUUUUCCGGCCGAGAGCGCCCUGCACCAGAACGAGAUACAAUACUACGUUCAGCUUCGGGGCGUACUCGCCGCUGUCUUUAGGGGGCUGCAGCGCAGGCCCCCAACACCAGGCAGAGCCUGAGGGUUGAAAUGACGCUCGAACAGGCAUGC
This 200-nucleotide unclassified non-coding RNA is filed under the name Zignoella sp. RNAcentral's name for it is "partial internal transcribed spacer 2". The record is from RNAcentral. Lineage: Eukaryota; Fungi; Ascomycota; Sordariomycetes; Chaetosphaeriales; Chaetosphaeriaceae.